GAUGAACGCUGGCGGCGUGCUUAACACAUGCAAGUCGAACGAAGCAUUUAAGACAGAUUACUUCGGUUUGAAGUCUUUUAUGACUGAGUGGCGGACGGGUGAGUAACGCGUGGGUAACCUGCCUCAUACAGGGGGAUAGCAGCUGGAAACGGCUGGUAAUACCGCAUAAGCGCACAGUACCACAUGGUACAGUGUGAAAAACUCCGGUGGUAUGGGAUGGACCCGCGUCUGAUUAGCUUGUUGGCGGGGUAACGGCCCACCAAGGCGACGAUCAGUAGCCGACCUGAGAGGGUGACCGGCCACAUUGGGACUGAGACACGGCCCAGACUCCUACGGGAGGCAGCAGUGGGGAAUAUUGCACAAUGGAGGAAGCUCUGAUGCAGCGACGCCGCGAGAGUGAAGAAGUAGUUCGCUAUGUAAAGCUCUAUCAGCAGGGAAGAUAGUGACGUUACCUGACUAAGAAGCUCCGGCUAAAUACGUG
Molecule: ribosomal RNA, 481 nt
Filed under: uncultured bacterium
Lineage: Bacteria
Description: partial 16S ribosomal RNA
Rfam family: Bacterial small subunit ribosomal RNA
Source: RNAcentral